RNAcentral lists this ribosomal RNA (819 nucleotides) under Staphylococcus aureus. Its description in RNAcentral is "bacterial LSU rRNA". It matches the Rfam family "Bacterial large subunit ribosomal RNA", at positions 1 to 816 of the family's 2925-position model. The record is from RNAcentral. Lineage: Bacteria; Bacillati; Bacillota; Bacilli; Caryophanales; Staphylococcaceae.
AGAUUAAGUUAUUAAGGGCGCACGGUGGAUGCCUUGGCACUAGAAGCCGAUGAAGGACGUUACUAACGACGAUAUGCUUUGGGGAGCUGUAAGUAAGCUUUGAUCCAGAGAUUUCCGAAUGGGGAAACCCAGCAUGAGUUAUGUCAUGUUAUCGAUAUGUGAAUACAUAGCAUAUCAGAAGGCACACCCGGAGAACUGAAACAUCUUAGUACCCGGAGGAAGAGAAAGAAAAUUCGAUUCCCUUAGUAGCGGCGAGCGAAACGGGAAGAGCCCAAACCAACAAGCUUGCUUGUUGGGGUUGUAGGACACUCUGUACGGAGUUACAAAGGACGACAUUAGACGAAUCAUCUGGAAAGAUGAAUCAAAGAAGGUAAUAAUCCUGUAGUCGAAAAUGUUGUCUCUCUUGAGUGGAUCCUGAGUACGACGGAGCACGUGAAAUUCCGUCGGAAUCUGGGAGGACCAUCUCCUAAGGCUAAAUACUCUCUAGUGACCGAUAGUGAACCAGUACCGUGAGGGAAAGGUGAAAAGCACCCCGGAAGGGGAGUGAAAUAGAACCUGAAACCGUGUGCUUACAAGUAGUCAGAGCCCGUUAAUGGGUGAUGGCGUGCCUUUUGUAGAAUGAACCGGCGAGUUACGAUUUGAUGCAAGGUUAAGCAGUAAAUGUGGAGCCGUAGCGAAAGCGAGUCUGAAUAGGGCGUUUAGUAUUUGGUCGUAGACCCGAAACCAGGUGAUCUACCCUUGGUCAGGUUGAAGUUCAGGUAACACUGAAUGGAGGACCGAACCGACUUACGUUGAAAAGUGAGCGGAUGAACUGAGGGU